UGAGCAAUCUGCCCUUCUCAUCGGAAUAAGCGUUGGAAACGACGUCUAAUGCCGAAUACGACCUCCUUUCACAUGAUCGGAGGUGGAAAGCUCCGGCGGAGAAGGAUGAGCUCGCGGCCUAUCAGCUAGUUGGUGUGGGUAACGCCCACCAAGGCGACGACGGGUAGCCGGCCUGAGAGGGUGACCCGGCCACACUGGAACUGAGACACGGCCCAGACUCCGUACGGGGAGNAGCG
Molecule: ribosomal RNA, 236 nt
Filed under: uncultured bacterium
Lineage: Bacteria
Description: partial 16S ribosomal RNA
Rfam family: Bacterial small subunit ribosomal RNA
Source: RNAcentral